Melitaea cinxia (Glanville fritillary) is the source of this 762-nucleotide long non-coding RNA. RefSeq lists it as uncharacterized. The transcript is spliced from 2 exons. The record is from RefSeq and is a predicted model, not a curated record. Lineage: Eukaryota; Metazoa; Arthropoda; Insecta; Lepidoptera; Nymphalidae.
CACCAACCCCUAUUUUUAAAUAGCGGCAAUACAACGUUUGUCGAGUCAGCUAGUAAUAUAGAUACAAUAGAUUCGGAAAUAUGGAGAGUUGUAGACGGAUCACAAAAAAUGUAAAAAUUUUAAAAUUAUAUCGUAUACUAGCUGCACCCUGGCGUAUCACUCGCGUUAUUUUCGAUCCCGAAGGAAUGUCGGGAUGAAAUAUAGGUGUUAUUUUCAAGUGAGAAAUAGGUGUUAUUUUGAAUCUCAAGCUGUUUUUUGUACCAAGUUCGUAAUUACGGUUUAGUAAUUCUUGCGUGAAAGACUAACAAACACCCGACCAUCCUCACAAAUUUUUGCAUUUAUGUUAUUAAUAGUAUUGUUUACUUUCAACUGCUUGAUCGCAGUUAUUUGUGACCACUAAUGUGUGUUGACAAUAAAUAAACGAUAUACAAAGUCAUUUACCCUAUCUUUUUAUUUAAAUGAAUAAUUCGGUUCGUAUUUCAUUAAUAUAGUUACAUAAUAAUUUAGUUUAAAAGUAAUGAACGAAAUUUGUAAUCAUUUCAAACAUCCUCUGAGCAAUUACUCGGAAAUAAACAAAGAGACAAGAAUAUAAGAAAUAUUCAAUCCCAAAUAAGUACAGAUAUAAAUGUACGAAGUAAAUAUUGAAAUGAAUACUACACAGAUCGAAACACAAAAUGUCAGUAGAACUCUCAUAGAAAGAAUUCCGUACAAUUGUAAUAUCAUUAUGCCGAAAUAAACGUAUUUCUUCUUUAAAAAGUUCAA